GUGAGGAAUAUUGGUCAAUGGGCGCAAGCCUGAACCAGCCAUGCCGCGUGCAGGAAGACGGUCCUAUGGAUUGUAAACUGCUUUUAUUUGGGAAUAAACUCCGGUACGUGUACCGGCCUGAAGGUACCAAAUGAAUAAGCACCGGCUAACUCCGUGCCAGCAGCCGCGGUAAUACGGAGGGUGCAAGCGUUAUCCGGAAUCAUUGGGUUUAAAGGGUCCGCAGGCGGUCUUAUAAGUCAGUGGUGAAAGCCUACAGCUCAACUGUAGAACUGCCAUUGAUACUGUAGGACUUGAAUUCGAUCGAAGUGGGCGGAAUGUGACAUGUAGUGGUGAAAUGCUUAGAUAUGUCACAGAACACCGAUAGCGAAGGCAGCUCACUAGGUCUGGAUUGACGCUCAGGGACGAAAGCGUGGGGAGCAAACAGGAUUAGAUACCCGGGUAGUCC
This 445-nucleotide ribosomal RNA is filed under the name uncultured bacterium. RNAcentral's name for it is "bacterial SSU rRNA". It matches the Rfam family "Bacterial small subunit ribosomal RNA", at positions 354 to 796 of the family's 1533-position model. The record is from RNAcentral.